AACUGAUACUACCUGCGGGAACCUGCGGAGGGAUCAUUAACGAAUAUCUAUGGCGUUGGUUGUAGCUGGCUCCUAGGAGCAUUUGUGCACGCCCGUCAUUCAUAUCAUCUUUCCACCUGUGAACUAUGUGUAGGCCUGGAUAUCCCUCGCUUUGGCAACAAAGCGGAUGCAAGGAUUGCUGCGUCGACAAGGCCAGCUCUCUUUGAAUUUCCAGGUUCUAUGUUUUUUUACACACCCCAU
RNAcentral lists this unclassified non-coding RNA (240 nucleotides) under soil metagenome. RNAcentral's name for it is "partial contains 5.8S ribosomal RNA, internal transcribed spacer 2, and large subunit ribosomal RNA". The record is from RNAcentral.